UGAGUAACCUGCCCUUAACUCUGGGAUAAGCCUGGGAAACUGGGUCUAAUACCGGAUAUGACUCCUCAUCGCAUGGUGGGGGGUGGAAAGCUUUUUGUGGUUUUGGAUGGACUCGCGGCCUAUCAGCUUGUUGGUGAGGUAAUGGCUCACCAAGGCGACGAUCAGUAGCCGACCUGAGAGGGUGAUCGGCCACAUUGGAACUGAGACCACGGUCCAGACUCCGUACGGGAGG
RNAcentral lists this ribosomal RNA (232 nucleotides) under uncultured bacterium. RNAcentral's name for it is "partial 16S ribosomal RNA". It matches the Rfam family "Bacterial small subunit ribosomal RNA", at positions 118 to 348 of the family's 1533-position model. The record is from RNAcentral.